UAAAUUGAAAUUAACAACAUUUUUACAAAUGAUGUCCCAUUAGAAAGAAAAUUUGUAUACAUCAUAAUUAUGGAGUAAAUUGUAAAAAGGGUCUCUGUGCUUUGAAAAAAAUAGUCUAAGAGUAUUUGGCACUGAAAAGUGCUCAUUUGAAUAAGAACUGUAUUUUGCAUUGUAAAGAGUUACUGAAUUCUUCUAAUAAAAUGAAUAGACUUAAUGUAUUCAAAAUAUACUAUCUAUAACCAGACAAUUUAACUUUCACUAGAUGUGUAUUUCUGUUUGAGUAUAGAGCACUAAGAAAUAUAGGGAUUAUUGGAUCUUUUUCUUUUAUUUGAAGUCACAUCAAAGAUAAUAGGCUUAUUGCUUAGGAGAAGACCAAAGGGGGUUAAAGUAUUGAGAUUUCAUCUGUCACACAAUUAUGUAAUGCCAAAUAACAGGACCUGACUGAUAUACUAGUUAUCUGAUUGUGCAAUAUAAAACAGAAUCAGCUGAUCACAGCAGAGGCAAUAAUGGUAUUAUAUAUUGUAAACAAUUAUUAAGUAGGAAUUAUAGUACUUCACAUGAUUUGAACUUUUCAUUUUAAUAUCCAUUGGGGUUUGUAUAAGACAUUAUUGUAAACAUGUUAUAUUUUAUGCCUUGUCACUGUCUUUUUGUAUUGUUUUGUUGUUAAUUAUUUAAAAAGUGAAUUUAAUUUAAUAAAAAUCAAGUCUAUUCUUAUACCCAGAAAUGAAAAAUUAAAUAUGGGAUGACA
Molecule: long non-coding RNA, 748 nt
Filed under: Mytilus galloprovincialis (Mediterranean mussel)
Lineage: Eukaryota; Metazoa; Mollusca; Bivalvia; Mytilida; Mytilidae
Source: RNAcentral